RNAcentral lists this transfer RNA (83 nucleotides) under Methanomethylicia archaeon. Its description in RNAcentral is "Candidatus Methanomethylicia archaeon tRNA-Ser". It matches the Rfam family "tRNA". From Rfam's summary of the family: Transfer RNA (tRNA) molecules are approximately 80 nucleotides in length. The record is from RNAcentral. Lineage: Archaea; Thermoproteati; Thermoproteota; Methanosuratincolia.
GCCGGGGUGGCUGAGUGGAAAAGCGCCGGCCUUGAGAGCCGGUUCCCCUCUGGGGAUCAAGGGUUCGAAUCCCUUCCCCGGCG